CGACCCAGACGGGAAUCGAACCCACACCUACCGCUUCCCGAGCAGCUUCUACCGAUUACCCCAGCGGGGC
Non-coding RNA from Ostertagia ostertagi, 70 nucleotides. The record is from the annotation of a GenBank genome assembly. Lineage: Eukaryota; Metazoa; Nematoda; Chromadorea; Rhabditida; Trichostrongylidae.